Molecule: non-coding RNA, 75 nt
Organism: Cajanus cajan (pigeon pea)
Lineage: Eukaryota; Viridiplantae; Streptophyta; Magnoliopsida; Fabales; Fabaceae
Source: Rfam
UCGAGCCGGAUGAUGAAAAAUUAUCAUGUCCGGUUCUUUUGGAGGAUGGAUCUAUAAGAAUUCACCUAUCCCAAU